GACGAACGCUGGCGGCGUGCUUAACACAUGCAAGUCGAACGCUGAAGCUCAGCUUGCUGGGUGGAUGAGUGGCGAACGGGUGAGUAACACGUGAGUAACCUGCCCUCUUCUUUGGGAUAACGCCCGGAAACGGGUGCUAAUACUGGAUAUUCACUGAUUCUCGCAUGGGGGUUGGUGGAAAGGUUUUUUCUGGUGGGGGAUGGGCUCGCGGCCUAUCAGCUUGUUGGUGGGGUGAUGGCCUACCAAGGCUUUGACGGGUAGCCGGCCUGAGAGGGUGACCGGUCACAUUGGGACUGAGAUACGGCCCAGACUUCUACGGGAGGAAGCAGUGGGGAAUAUUGCACAAUGGGCGAAAGCCUGAUGCAGCGACGCCGAGUGAGGGAUGGAGGCCUUCGGGUUGUAAACCUCUUUCGCUCAUGGUCAAGCCGCAGCUUUGGGUUGUGGUGAGGGUAGUGGGUAAAGAAGCGCCGGCUAACUACGUG
RNAcentral lists this ribosomal RNA (482 nucleotides) under uncultured bacterium. RNAcentral's name for it is "partial 16S ribosomal RNA". It matches the Rfam family "Bacterial small subunit ribosomal RNA", at positions 28 to 507 of the family's 1533-position model. The record is from RNAcentral.